AUUCAAUUGGUAAAAAAAAAAAUAAAAGGGUACAAUACAGAGGUGAACUCAGAAUAAAACUGACUCGUGAGCAAACUGUAAAAUCCAAAGUCUGGGAGAUGGGGAGAGUGCAUACUAGAGCAACAUCAGAAGGCUAAAUAAACAUGGAGUAGACAGACUAAAAAACACUUAUGCUGAAUUUCAUGUAUGAAGUUUCGGAAAAGGCCCAUAAAAUAGAAUAUAUGAACUAGUUCAUUUAUUUGUAAAUUUUUAGUCCCCUGGAUCCCUCUGGACCAAAAUCCCAGUCAGCAUAAGAGAAGAAAGGUCAUUUCUCUCUGUGUGUUACUGCAACAGUGUUUUUGUCCAUAUGGCUGCUAAGGUUUAUAGCCUGAGACUGUUUAGAGGCCAACGUAUGAAGCAGGUAAAACAGUGACACCAUUCUGUAAUCACUCCUAGUUAAUGCUCCUCUUGAAGAUUGGACGUGACUUUGCACAGGGCAGUGAUCUUUGACUUUUCCUUGCUACUUUAACCAAUUUCAUUCUCCUUAAACUAGAAAACAAUCUGAGCCAGGCAUGGUGGCCUGUAAUCCCAGUGGCUAGGGAAGCUAAGGCAGGAGGAUCGCAAGUCCAAAGCAAACCUCAGCAAUUUAGCAAAGCUAAGCAACUUAGACCCUGUAUCUAAAAAAAAAAAAAAAAAAAAAAAAAUCUGUAACCUCUUCGUUCUAGGUUUCCCACAAAUUUUUGGCACAAAUUUAAAAUAAACUAUUAUAUAGCAAAGUUUGCAGUAAAAUGCAGGUGUACAUGCUGUAUACUUCUGACAAAGCAGAGGUUGACCUUUGUUUUGUUUUUAUUUUGUAUAACCGGGAGAUGGAAUCCAGGAUUCCAUCUCUUAACUCCUGAGCCGUCUUCCCAGGCCUUUUAUAUUUUAUUUUGAGACAGUGUCUCCUGAGUUGUUUAGUGCCUCACUAAAUUUCUGAAGCUGGUCUCAGAUGUGCAAUCCUCCUGCCUCAGCCUUCUGAACUGCUGGGAUUACAGGCGUGCACCACCUUACCUGACCGAGAAGUUAACAUUUGAGCAUCUUUUGCUUACAGUACAUUUUUACAGCAUCACAGUGUGGUCACAUUUGUACAUUUAUGAUUUGUCAUUAAAUUGGGUUAUGGUUUUCAAAUGGGGGGGAAAAAUCUCCCUUUAGUUAAAAGAACAGUGGAUUUAAAUAGCUAUAGUUUUAAAAUACUUUGACAUUCCAGCAACUUGUUUCACAGUAUUUCUAAUUAUUGACUAUAUAAUUGAUGUUUAAAGGUUUAGAAUCAUAUGUUCAUUUUCAGUUUGUCUAAGAAUGUCAUGUGUGUUUUGAAUAUACAUUUGUAUUCCACCAAAGAAGCAAGUUCUUUGGUAUUAUCAAUGGUACAGAAGUACUUGCUUUUCAAGCUAGUAUUUGGGGCAUGCAUCAUGAAGAAAUGGCUCUAUUUUAUCAUUUUUCUUAGAAGAUCUGCAUUUAAAAUCAGUUUGUUCUUUGGAGGAAAGUAUUUGGCAUCACUGCUUUCUCCUCCCCUUACUUUACAGGGUGCUUUCUUACUAUAGCCUGAGUACCUGUGGCAACUUGUUUUUAAUGAAAAAAUUUCUUAUAAAAAAGUAUAUAGAAAAAGAAAUGUUUCUGUUAGGUUUUGUUUUUCAAAAAUGUACAUUUACAAAGAGUAAUGUCCCAGAAGAAACAAAACUACACUUUUGAAGCAUUUAUUAUUAUUUAAAAAUAUUUGGGAAAUAUAUUUUUAUUCCUCUGAAGCUGCUUUUGAAUUAGUCUAAGGGAACGUAAAUUUAAGUAUUAACAGAAUAAUGACAGUUUGCUUCUUAUCAUUAUCAAUGCUUG
Molecule: long non-coding RNA, 1845 nt
Filed under: Marmota monax (woodchuck)
Lineage: Eukaryota; Metazoa; Chordata; Mammalia; Rodentia; Sciuridae
Source: RNAcentral